Molecule: non-coding RNA, 24 nt
Filed under: Rattus norvegicus (Norway rat)
Lineage: Eukaryota; Metazoa; Chordata; Mammalia; Rodentia; Muridae
Source: RNAcentral
UGCGGGACAGGCUGCCUAGGCUCU